GCCUAACACAUGCAAGUCGAGCGGUAGAGAGAAGCUUGCUUCUCUUGAGAGCGGCGGACGGGUGAGUAAUACCUAGGAAUCUGCCUGAUAGUGGGGGAUAACGUUCGGAAACGGACGCUAAUACCGCAUACGUCCUACGGCAGAAAGCAGGGGACCUUCGGGCCUUGCGCUAUCAGAUGAGCCUAGGUCGGAUUAGCUAGUUGGUGAGGUAAUGGCUCACCAAGGCUACGAUCCGUAACUGGUCUGAGAGGAUGAUCAGUCACACUGGAACUGAGACACGGUCCAGACUCCUACGGGAGGCAGCAGUGGGGAAUAUUGGACAAUGGGCGAAAGCCUGAUCCAGCCAUGCCGCGUGUGUGAAGAAGGUCUUCGGAUUGUAAAGCACUUUAAGUUGGGAGGAAGGGCAGUUACCUAAUACGUGAUUGUCUUGACGUUACCGACAGAAUAAGCACCGGCUAACUCUGUGCCAGCAGCCGCGGUAAUACAGAGGGUGCAAGCGUUAAUCGGAAUUACUGGGCGUAAAGCGCGCGUAGGUGGUUUGUUAAGUUGAAUGUGAAAUCCCCGGGCUCAACCUGGGAACUGCAUCCAAAACUGGCAAGCUAGAGUAUGGUAGAGGGUAGUGGAAUUUCCUGUGUAGCGGUGAAAUGCGUAGAUAUAGGAAGGAACACCAGUGGCGAAGGCGACUACCUGGACUGAUACUGACACUGAGGUGCGAAA
Molecule: ribosomal RNA, 717 nt
Filed under: uncultured bacterium
Lineage: Bacteria
Description: bacterial SSU rRNA
Rfam family: Bacterial small subunit ribosomal RNA
Source: RNAcentral